UUUGAUCCUGGCUCAGGAUGAACGCUAGCGGCAGGCUUAAUACAUGCAAGUCGAGGGGCAGCGCGGUAACAAUACUGGCGGCGACCGGCAAACGGGUGCGGAACACGUACACAACCUUCCUUUAGGCGGGGGAUACCCCAUAGAAAUGUGGAUUAAUACCCCAUAGUAUGCUGGUUGGCAUCAACUGGUAUUUAAAUAUUUAUCACUUAAAGAUGGCUGUGCGGCUGAUUAAGUAGUUGGGGGGGGUAACCCCCCACCAAGCCAGCGAUCAGUUAGUGGUGUGAGAACACCACCAGUCACACGGGCACUGAAACACGGGCCCCACUCCUACGGGAGGCAGCAAUAAGGAAUAUUGGUCAAUGGACGCAAGUCUGAACCACCCAUGCCGCGUGAAGGAUGAACGCCCUCUGGGUUGUAAACUUCUUUUAUCUGGAAAAAAACUAUUUUUUUUCGAGGGUGUUGACGGUACCAGAGGAAUAAGCACCGGCUAACUCCGUGCCAGCAGCCGCGGUAAUACGGAGGGUGCAAGCGUUAUCCGGAUUCACUGGGUUUAAAGGGUGCGUAGGUGGGAAUGUAAGUCAGUGGUGAAAUCUCCGUGCUUAACAUGGAAACUGCCAUUGAUACUAUGUUUCUUGUAUUUUCUGGAGGUAAGCGGAAUAUGUCAUGUAGCGGAUGAAAUGCUUAG
RNAcentral lists this ribosomal RNA (685 nucleotides) under uncultured bacterium. RNAcentral describes it as "partial 16S ribosomal RNA". It matches the Rfam family "Bacterial small subunit ribosomal RNA", at positions 12 to 693 of the family's 1533-position model. The record is from RNAcentral.